UAAUAAACAACAAUAUUUACACUGAGUUAGUGGCUGAGAUAUUUCUCUCAAAAUCACAAAUCAAACAGCGUUGCUGGAGGAAGUUGGGUUCAUCCUCUGGUGACCAUGAGAGUGACGAUGCAGCAGAAGUUGAGGAUGAUGUAACUGAAGAAGACCUGCUGCAGUUCCAGCCCGGCUCAUUGUGCAGUGUUUGCUCCAUCUGUGUGCACUGCUCUACUGACUGCGACAAAUGCCCGUGUGAAGAGGGAGAUGAGUCAGAUCUCUGUGACCACUGCCAAGAGUGCUCAUCCUGUUAUCUCUGCCCUAUACUGUGCGACACGAUUUGCACGCCAGGUGGCCUUGUUGAUGAGCUAACUGGGUCCCUCUUUCAGUCUUUUUCCUCUCUUCUCUGAGCCCCUGAUGCCCCCAUGUGGUUACAUAAGGUACUGUGUUCAGGAUUGGAGCUGUCCGGAUUUUCAUACCUUCAAAGCAACAGCAGGGCUCUCACAAGAGCUACACUUGAAUCUGACUGCUGAUAGAAAAGUAAUGACGUGUUAAGGUUUUACCUUAACAUGGUUUUACAGGUUUCAAGUAGCAUUUAUAUGAGCUGAAAAUAGCUUAAUAGGUUCUUUUACUUUUCUUUCUUUUACUUCUGUGCAAUUUUGAAGCAAAAAGAUGAUAAUACAUUGCAAUGGAUAUAUGUGCGUUUUGUAGAAACACUGUAAUAUAACACGGGAAAUGAAGGUGUAUUAUGAUAGGAAUCUGUAUUCCUGUACAAGACAAAAAAAACCCUACUUCUUAUUUAUUAAAGGUACAAGGUAGAGCAGUCCAAAGUUUUCUUCUUAUUCUUUCUGUGAUGUGCAUUUCAAGUUGGAUCUUUACUCUCUAUUUCACACUGUUAACCAGCAAUUAAAAAAAGUCUAGAUUUAUUUGUGAGCAUAAACCUCUUUGGUAUACAUUUGAAAAGAAACUGAGGUUCAAUUUAAAGGCGUACAACUUCUGGAAAUCCCUCUUUUAAAACUACGACUUCUCUACCUCGUAACCCACAACACUGUAUAAAAAGUGGGCGUACGCAAUUCUAAGGUAUUUCAUUCAAAAGGAUUCAUAACAAUAAACUUUGUUGAGAAAAGAAA
Notolabrus celidotus (New Zealand spotty) is the source of this 1112-nucleotide RNA transcript. It is a transcript of the gene named cilia- and flagella-associated protein 251, with no coding region annotated. The record is from RefSeq and is a predicted model, not a curated record. NCBI's taxonomy places the organism in Eukaryota, Metazoa, Chordata, Actinopteri, Labriformes, Labridae. The transcript is spliced from 6 exons.